UUUCCAUGAUGAGGGCACUUCCAUAAUAAUUCUUUGUACCUUUCCCAUACCUCAUACAAGGACUUAUCAUCCAUCUGUUGAAAGCAAUGAUCUCGUUCCUCAACUU
Non-coding RNA from Gossypium arboreum, 106 nucleotides. The record is from Rfam. NCBI's taxonomy places the organism in Eukaryota, Viridiplantae, Streptophyta, Magnoliopsida, Malvales, Malvaceae.